Molecule: ribosomal RNA, 552 nt
Filed under: uncultured Cortinarius
Lineage: Eukaryota; Fungi; Basidiomycota; Agaricomycetes; Agaricales; Cortinariaceae
Description: eukaryotic LSU rRNA
Rfam family: 5.8S ribosomal RNA (bases 167-320)
Source: RNAcentral
UAUUGAAAUAAACCUGAUGGGUUGUUGCUGGCUCUCUAGGGAGCAUGUGCACACCUUGUCAUCUUUAUAUCUCCACCUGUGCACCUUUUGUAGACCUUUCAGGUCUAUGUUGCUUCAUUUACCCCAAUGUAUGUUAAUAGAAUGUUGUGCCUAUAUUAAUAUAUACAACUUUCAGCAACGGAUCUCUUGGCUCUCGCAUCGAUGAAGAACGCAGCGAAAUGCGAUAAGUAAUGUGAAUUGCAGAAUUCAGUGAAUCAUCGAAUCUUUGAACGCACCUUGCGCUCCUUGGUAUUCCGAGGAGCAUGCCUGUUUGAGUGUCAUUAAUAUAUCAACCUUCUCUUUUUGAGUGGUUUGGAUGUGGGGGUUUGCUGGCCUCUUAAAAAGGUCUUGGCUCUCCUGAAAUACAUUAGCGGAACAACCCUGUUCAUUGGUGUGAUAACUAUCUACGCUAUUGAAUGUGAAGGGCAGUUUGGCUUUCUAACGGUCCUUGGACAGCUCAUCAUUAAUGUGACCUCAAAUCAGGUAGGACUACCCGCUGAACUUAAGCAUAUC